RNAcentral lists this ribosomal RNA (916 nucleotides) under uncultured bacterium. Its description in RNAcentral is "bacterial SSU rRNA". It matches the Rfam family "Bacterial small subunit ribosomal RNA", at positions 8 to 916 of the family's 1533-position model. The record is from RNAcentral.
AGAGUUUGAUCAUGGCUCAGGACGAACGCUGGCGGCGUGCUUAAUACAUGCAAGUCGAGCGAGGUUACUGUUUUGGAUCCCUUCGGGGUGAAGAAGCUUUAACCUAGCGGCGGACGGGUGAGUAACGCGUGGGUAACCUACCCCAAAGUCCGGGAUAACAGCGGGAAACCGCUGCUAAUACCGGAUGCCUUUACCUUGGGGCAUCUUGAGGUAAAGAAAGGUAACGCUUUGGGAUGGGCCCGCGUCCCAUUAGCUAGUUGGUGAGGUAACGGCUCACCAAGGCGACGAUGGGUAGCCGGCCUGAGAGGGUGGACGGCCACACUGGGACUGAGACACGGCCCAGACUCCUACGGGAGGCAGCAGUAGGGAAUAUUGCGCAAUGGACGGAAGUCUGACGCAGCGACGCCGCGUGAGCGAUGAAGGUCUUCGGAUCGUAAAGCUCUGUCCUUGGGGAAGAAGGCGAAAGCUUGACGGUACCCAAGAAGAAAGCCCCGGCUAACUACGUGCCAGCAGCCGCGGUAAUACGUAGGGGGCGAGCGUUGUCCGGAAUUACUGGGCGUAAAGGGUGCGUAGGCGGCCCUUUAAGUCGGAUGUGAAAGCCCGCGGCUUAACCGCGGAAUGGCAUUCGAAACUGGAGGGCUUGAGUGUCGGAGAGGGUAGUGGAAUUCCCAGUGUAGCGGUGAAAUGCGUAGAUAUUGGGAGGAACACCAGUGGCGAAGGCGACUACCUGGACGAUAACUGACGCUGAGGCACGAAAGCUAGGGGAGCAAACAGGAUUAGAUACCCUGGUAGUCCUAGCCGUAAACGAUGGGUACUAGGUGUGGGUGGUUUCGAUACCAUCCGUGCCGUAGUUAACGCAUUAAGUACCCCGCCUGGGGAGUACGUGCGCAAGCAUGAAACUCAAAGGAAUUGACGG